AAUGGGCGAAAGCCUGAUGCAGCGACGCCGCGUGAGUGAUGACGUAUUUCGGUAUGUAAAGCUCUAUCAGCAGGGAAGAUAAUGACGGUACCUGACUAAGAAGCCCCGGCUAACUACGUGCCAGCAGCCGCGGUAAUACGUAGGGGGCAAGCGUUAUCCGGAUUUACUGGGUGUAAAGGGUGCGUAGGUGGUAUGAUAAGUCAGAAGUGAAAGGUGAGGGCUCAACCCUUAGACUGCUUUUGAAACUAUCAAACUAGAGUGCAGGAGAGGUAAGUGGAAUUCCUAGUGUAGCGGUGAAAUGCGUAGAUAUUAGGAGGAACACCAGUGGCGAAGGCGGCUUACUGGACUGUAACUGACACUGAGGCACGAAAGCGUGGGGAGCAAA
RNAcentral lists this ribosomal RNA (385 nucleotides) under uncultured bacterium. RNAcentral describes it as "bacterial SSU rRNA". It matches the Rfam family "Bacterial small subunit ribosomal RNA", at positions 370 to 772 of the family's 1533-position model. The record is from RNAcentral.